GCAGCUGUAGUCUAGUGGUUUUGAUUCGACCUUCCCAAGGUCGUGGCCCGGGUUCGAUUCCCGGCAGCUGCA
RNAcentral lists this transfer RNA (72 nucleotides) under Candidatus Iainarchaeum sp. RNAcentral's name for it is "tRNA-Gly". It matches the Rfam family "tRNA". From Rfam's summary of the family: Transfer RNA (tRNA) molecules are approximately 80 nucleotides in length. Their secondary structure includes four short double-helical elements and three loops (D, anti-codon, and T loops). Further hydrogen bonds mediate the characteristic L-shaped molecular structure. tRNAs have two regions of fundamental functional importance: the anti-codon, which is responsible for specific mRNA codon recognition, and the 3' end, to which the tRNAs corresponding amino acid is attached (by aminoacyl-tRNA synthetases). tRNAs cope with the degeneracy of the genetic code in two manners: having more than one tRNA (with a specific anti-codon) for a particular amino acid; and 'wobble' base-pairing, i.e. permitting non-standard base-pairing at the 3rd anti-codon position. The record is from RNAcentral. Lineage: Archaea; Nanobdellati; Candidatus Iainarchaeota; Candidatus Iainarchaeia; Candidatus Iainarchaeales; Candidatus Iainarchaeaceae.